CUUCACUUCCGUUUCGCCGUUUGUCAAAUAUGUAGUGUAGGUAAACGUAAAAGAACACGCUAGCUUUUUGGUUCACAUAAGCUAGCACUAAAUCUUAAAUAAACGACUUUUUUUGUAAGCAACUGAGUAAUCUCUAAUCUAAGAAUCGAAAAUGAAUAUGAUUCCGACGACGACGAAGAGGACGGCGUUCAUGAACUACUUAAUUUUUCCUCAAAAUGGAGUCGUGGAGGGACCGAUGCACUAUGGAUCCGGAGAUUCCUCCCCGCAGAUUGCCGUGGCCUCCUCCAUAGACUCUCACAACGGGAAUGUUGGCUCCAAUGAAACCCCAAAACGGCCGAAGAACCUGGGAGUGAAUGGGUAUGCGUCAAAAAACCUUCGACAAGACAGCGACAGUAUGGAGGAGGGCUCUUUACCGUGCACCCCGGAGCUGCAGUCGGACAGUGAAACCGACGUCUCCAGUUGUCCAGCAGGAGACGAGUUGCUGGAGAAUGACACGAGGCAACUCCUUCGCCGUUUCUUAAGAGACUUUACUGGACUUUCAAAGCCCCGGUGGAAUGAAAGCAAAGCAUUAUCAACAAUGAAAAGAGUUGUGGAUGACGUUUUGGACAAACACAGAUACGCAUACAAUGGUAUGAUCAACAAACUGUCGCUGGAUGACAGAGGGGAUGAUGUGUCGUUUGUCAGUGCAGUAGCCAAGAGCCUCUUUGCAGACAGGACGACCAACUGGGGUCGUAUUACGAGCCUGGUGGCCUUUGGGGCGGUGGUAUGUCAGUACCUGAAGGAGAGGGGCAGGGAGAACUGCGUGGACCUGGUCAGCCAGGAGAUUUCCACAUACCUGCUUUCUGAACAGCGAGACUGGCUGGUCAAAAACAACUCAUGGGAUGGUUUUGUGGAGUUUUUUCGAGUAGCAGACCCUGAGUUGACGGUCAGGAACACACUCAUGGCCUUUGCUGGAUUUGCUGGUAUUGGGGCAACACUGGCCCUGCUGAUCAGGUGAUGUGAUGUGAAGACCAAUGUUCUGCCAAUGGAAUGAAAAUGUUAUCAAGGGGAGAGUGCAUCAGCUCGAUAAACUCGACCGUCACUGUGCAUUUCUACAGUGCCAUCAACUUCUGCAGCUUCCAUCCAUCACCAUCUGAUUGAAUACUGUUAUUAUAUAUAGUGAUAAAACACAAAGAAAGCCUUGACAUUUGAAAGUUAUGACACAAGUUCUGCCCCCUAUUCAUUGCACCUAUUACUUACGUCUGGGCUUUAUGAGAACACAUGCUCUUUAGUAGUUUUCUUUAUUACAUUUUUACUUCAUAGCCAAUUGCUUAACCGCACUGUGAAAGAGUUACUGUACUUCAAUAAUCCUCAGUCCUAUUUAACCAUGCAAAAGUUUUUGUUUUAUCUGCUAAAGCUUUGUCAUCUAUUUCCAUCCAACUGCAAUGGAAAAAAUUGUCAGUUUGUUUUUGGUGCUCACAGGCCUGAAAAUUUGUAUUUAAAACAUUGAAGAGCAACUUGUCUGUCCAGAAGCAGUGUUGUCUGCACACUCUGUAUAACUUACAGACUUUACUGUGAACACUGUUCCCAUGAAACUACUGUCUAGUUGAGAAACAGACCCAACGAAAGUUAACAGCAUUCUUUAUUAACCUGGUUAUUGGUUGUUCACAUUUUUUGGUAGGUUUUGUGGUGCACAAAUGAAAUUCCAUUUAAGUAGCUUUGUUGCAUUUGGGAGGCCGUAGGAGUUUUAAUGUCAUAUAACACUUUCUGCAUAUUCACUUAUUUUCCUCAGAAAACUUUCACAGAACAAUUUGGAAUUUGAUAAACAUACAAAUUUGCAGGUUUUAAAAAUUGAAGCAACUAAUAGCUAUGUGGUGAAUGAAUUAGGUUUAAGGCUUUGUUAAAAAAUGAAAAAAAGAAGAAACAAAAAAAAGAUAAACCUAACAAAGUCAAAAGUGGCAACUCAGAGACUGAAUUCAGAAUAUUAAUUUCGAUGUUCCCGUUUUAAGUUUAUCCUGAUUUUGCUUUAAAAUCAUUUAUAUUUUAUUGUUUGAAAUUAGAGUGUGUGUUACAUUAUUUAUUGCAGUUAUUUAACAGCAGAAAACAAUAAUUUUAUUCUCUAAAUCAGAGUAUCACACCUCUGCGGUCCGUGUACGGAUCUGGUAAUUGGAUUUUCCGUUCUGAAAUGGGUAUUGAAAAACAAAAAACGAGUGGUUAUUUGAUUUUCGUUUUAAAAUACAAAAAUUUAAGUUGAAAUACAAGGCGUUUUUCCUUUUCAUGAUCAAAAAGGGAUAUACGAUUUUUUUUUAAAAAAUGCUUUGAUUUUGGUUUUAUAUUUAGAAUAACAAGAAAGUAAAAUCAGUAAGAGACAGAAACGAAAAAAAGGUCCGUUUUUUCAUUUUCUGAGACCGGAAGUGGUCAUUAGCAAGUGUGGAGCCAAACAGAGUACGGUGCAUAGACUGUAUAUAAUUUUUUUUUCGUUAGUUUUCAUGGUCAAAAUGAGAGAUCAGGUGGCCGAUCUUAAAAUAAAUCAAUAUUGAUUUUUUUUUUACAGAGCGUUAAAGGUUUGCGAAGCCAGGGGGCGGGACUACUUGAUUGACAAUCUGGUCUGGAAUGAUUGACAGGUCCUAUGGAGGAAGCAGCAGAGACUCUGCUCUCCUCGUUUGGAUUAAUUCUGAUAUAAUAACUGUUGGUUUAUUUAUCAGUGGAGCAGCACAACAUUUUCCACAGACAGUUUUCCUGCCCGUUGGCUUGUUUUAACCAGUUUUCUACCUUCGGCUGAUUCUACCAGCAGACACUGAAAGGACUCUGAUAGUUCGGUAAGUAAAUGUUUAUUUUCGUAUCGGUGCCGCUUUUAAUGCACUUUAUAUGCAGCUUUAGUGUCAGAUGUAAUGUGUGCCAUGCACUCCAGAUGUUGGUGGAGUUUGUUUCAGUGUGUGUUGACCAGAGAAGAGAGUUAACAUAGUAAAUAUUAGCUUUAAUGUUAGCGAUGCUAACCGAGCUAGCUGCUCAGUCAUAGUCUGAUUAAAGCUAACGUAGCAUCAAGCUGUUUAUGUUUACAUAAACAGCUGAAGUGUGUUGUGUUCCUGUAAUGUGGUUCAUUAAGUUCAUAAAACUGUGGCUGGUUUACAUUAAUGUAAUGUUCAGGAAACUUAAAUGUGAUUAAAACAGUAACGUUAAUAUUCUAGUUGUCAGUAAUCCGCUUUAAUUUGACACUAAAACAGACUCUGAUAGUUUUAAAUGACAUCAGUUUCAUUAAUUUGUUGAAAAUUGUCUAAUUUGUUGUUAUGAUGUUGCUGCUGAUUCAUUAAAACCAGAUGAUCCAUGUUGAAGAUACGUUUAGUUCUAGUAUCAGAAGUACAAGAAGGAAAAUGUAAGUUUAGUUCUGCUACAUCAAAGAUUUCAGGAUUAAAAUAACUAAAUGAGUCUUUAUGCCUCAAACUUUAUUUUUGCAAUAAAGAAAUAAUGAAAUAAUCACAGAUAAUAAAAAUAUAAAUAGCAGAGAAAACCUGAGAGAAUAUUUUCCUGAAAAGUGUGUGAAGGAAAAGCAGCUUUUUUAUCCUGAAAGAUCAGAAUCAGCUCCAACAUCUGCAUCUGACAGCAUCAAGUCAACCAGAAAGAAAACAAAAAAGAAAAUGACUUCUUUCUGAUCACAUCUGUUCCGCUGCUCACAGUCUGCUGAUGCUCACAUUCUUCACAUUUAUAGUCCAUUUUUAAAAGUUCAGCAGACAGGUGGUCUGCUUUGGAGUGUGACGAUGUCGUCGGUGAUGUGGAGAGUGAAGUUUCCGUUUCACCCACAGCGUGCUUUAUGGCAGCCGGGUCAGACUUGAUGUUUGAAAUACUGACCGACAGCUCAGAUUUAACUGUCUGUAGUUCCGUUUUGAUGGGCGUCACUCAAAGUCGCCAGGAGCUGGGUCUUUAAAAUAACCGCCAUCUCGUUACAGAGUGAAAGUAGCAAUUCCUCCUUAAGGUCAGAGAUUGCAGCAUCUGAGGGCCUCUUCAAAAGAAGACAUAGUUGAUGAAGGUGUUCUGGAGCAGGACCAGAAAGACCACGACCAAGCAGCCUUGAGAUCUUAGGCAGCAUCUCCCUCAGACAUCCACCAACCACUGGAACACAUCUCCAAAGUUCUGCUGGGCCAGCUCAGCUUCCCGUCAGAAGAAGUGCAGCCACCUGCCAGAUGAAGGAGCCUUUUGAGAGGCAGCUGGCAUCGUGAUUGGACUGUACUUUGGUCUGUUCCAAUCCAGCUUCAGUUCCAGAGACGGCAGGCGGGACGAGUCAACGGAGGCCGGGUGGACGAAGGCAUGAAGCUGAGUACAAUCCAGAAAACAACAGAGGAGGAGAGCAGCGGCCAGAACAAACAGAGUAGCAUGGUAUGUCUCUUAGAAAACAUCAUAGUAUAGCCUUUGGGAUGAAAAAACGCCAUCAUAUACAUCGUAUAUUGUACAAAUAACAAGUCAAAGGAAAGAGACAUACAUUGUAGAAUUGUAGUAAUUGUGGGCUGACUGAUUUACUGAUUAUCAGUAUUUUAUUUUUUACUGAUUUAUGGUAAUAAAUACAUUUAAAAAUGGUG
RNA transcript from Amphiprion ocellaris (clown anemonefish), 4550 nucleotides. It is a transcript of the gene named MCL1 apoptosis regulator, BCL2 family member b, with no coding region annotated. The transcript is spliced from 5 exons. Lineage: Eukaryota; Metazoa; Chordata; Actinopteri; Pomacentridae. The record is from RefSeq and is a predicted model, not a curated record.